CAAACUCUGGAGAUAAGAUAAGAGGGGGUACGUAGCCCUUCCUUCCCCAAAGGAUCUGCUGUGGAGUAAGGAGAUAGACUAAGAAAUCAACCCACUGCAAUGAAGUGUGCCCAUAAAGCUUUAUGAGAUCCCUUAUAAGGAUCCAUCCCUUCUGAGGAGAUCAGAUGCAAGCUUCAUACAGAUGCUGCUGGACCUCCCUGGUCCAGAAUUAAAUUCAAUACAUAAAAAAUC
RNAcentral lists this long non-coding RNA (231 nucleotides) under Mustela putorius furo (domestic ferret). RNAcentral describes it as "lncRNA (ENSMPUG00000030048.1)". Lineage: Eukaryota; Metazoa; Chordata; Mammalia; Carnivora; Mustelidae. The record is from RNAcentral.